Molecule: ribosomal RNA, 253 nt
Filed under: uncultured bacterium
Lineage: Bacteria
Description: partial 16S ribosomal RNA
Rfam family: Bacterial small subunit ribosomal RNA
Source: RNAcentral
GACGGGGGGGGCAAGCGUUGUUCGGAAUUACUGGGCGUAAAGGGCUUGUAGGCGGCCAACUAAGUCCGACGUGAAAUCCCCAGGCUUAACCUGGGAACUGCGUCGGAUACUGGAUGGCUUGAAUUCGGGAGAGGGAUGUGGAAUUCCAGGUGUAGCGGUGAAAUGCGUAGAUAUCUGGAGGAACACCGGUGGCGAAGGCGGCAUCCUGGACCGAUAUUGACGCUGAUGCGCGAAAGCCAGGGGAGCAAACGGG